Molecule: ribosomal RNA, 522 nt
Filed under: Escherichia coli
Lineage: Bacteria; Pseudomonadati; Pseudomonadota; Gammaproteobacteria; Enterobacterales; Enterobacteriaceae
Description: partial 23S ribosomal RNA
Rfam family: Bacterial large subunit ribosomal RNA
Source: RNAcentral
AGACCCGAAACCCGGUGAUCUAGCCAUGGGCAGGUUGAAGGUUGGGUAACACUAACUGGAGGACCGAACCGACUAAUGUUGAAAAAUUAGCGGAUGACUUGUGGCUGGGGGUGAAAGGCCAAUCAAACCGGGAGAUAGCUGGUUCUCCCCGAAAGCUAUUUAGGUAGCGCCUCGUGAAUUCAUCUCCGGGGGUAGAGCACUGUUUCGGCAAGGGGGUCAUCCCGACUUACCAACCCGAUGCAAACUGCGAAUACCGGAGAAUGUUAUCACGGGAGACACACGGCGGGUGCUAACGUCCGUCGUGAAGAGGGAAACAACCCAGACCGCCAGCUAAGGUCCCAAAGUCAUGGUUAAGUGGGAAACGAUGUGGGAAGGCCCAGACAGCCAGGAUGUUGGCUUAGAAGCAGCCAUCAUUUAAAGAAAGCGUAAUAGCUCACUGGUCGAGUCGGCCUGCGCGGAAGAUGUAACGGGGCUAAACCAUGCACCGAAGCUGCGGCAGCGACACUGUGUGUUGUUGGGUAG